UACUGAAAAAGGCAAAUCUCUCGAAAGAUUGAUACGCAAAGCCGUUGAUCUAAGGCAUAAGCUAUGAUUGCAAGGUUACCGUU
This 83-nucleotide non-coding RNA is filed under the name Clostridiales bacterium. RNAcentral's name for it is "c-di-GMP sequence". It matches the Rfam family "c-di-GMP-I riboswitch aptamer". From Rfam's summary of the family: GEMM was predicted in a large-scale screen for bacterial structured RNA regulatory elements. Lineage: Bacteria; Bacillati; Bacillota; Clostridia; Eubacteriales. The record is from RNAcentral.